RNAcentral lists this long non-coding RNA (651 nucleotides) under Phoenix dactylifera (date palm). RNAcentral describes it as "long non-coding RNA (PDAC_LNC019816)". The record is from RNAcentral. Lineage: Eukaryota; Viridiplantae; Streptophyta; Magnoliopsida; Arecales; Arecaceae.
UUUACGAUAAAAUUGGUAUUGAUCUCUAGAAAGUGGAAACAUUAAUUUUAGUCAGGAAUUGGCACUGAAUGCUCCAACUUUAUGAUGCCUACUGCCUGAUUUCCAUAAAGCUUAUGCAUCCGAGCAAGGUUGGCAAAGGUGGUUACCUAGGUGGGUUGAUGGUCCUGCAUAGGCACUUGGUACUUUCCUGUGUUCUAGGCAGGGAGAAAGGGUCAAAGUCCUGCAUGUGCAUUGGCAUGAUACUUGCUUUGCCAGUGCUUGGCACAAUCUGGAAACAUGCUGGCUCACAUUGAACGGCAUGCAGCUAUGCUCUGUGCCAACAAAUCAUCAGCACAAUAUGUUCCAGCCCCUGCCAAACCUUGGUAGGGAGGCCAUCUGAUCGUUUAGGUGGGUACCUGGAUGCUUAAUAACCAGCUUUGGCUUUAUAAAAUGCCUGGGUGUCUAAGGGCUGCUUUCGGCUUGGGCAGUUGCAUUGGUAGUUGAAGUUUGGGGCAACAAUGUUUGAUGCAAUACUGUAUCCAAAUAAAUAUGUAGCAAUUGGAGAGAUAAAUGGAAGUGCAUCUGUUAGAAGAGUUUCUUUAUUGAAACACAAACUUUUCAAAUGUGAGAUCACAACUGUUCAUUCAAUAACUUAUCCUCAUUUGAUGAGAA